AAUGAACGCUGGCGGCGUGCUUAACACAUGCAAGUCGAGCGCGAAAGGGGGCAACCCCGAGUAGAGCGGCGAACGGGUGAGUAACGCGUGGGUGAUUUGCCUCCGAGUGGGGAACAACACCGGGAAACUGGUGCUAAUACCGCAUGACAUCCUCGGGUCGUACUGGGGAUCAAAGCUGGGGACCGCAAGGCCUAGCGCUUGGAGAGAAGCCCGCGUCCGAUUAGCUAGUUGGUGGGGAAUGGCCUACCAAGGCGACGAUCGGUAGCCGGCCUGAGAGGGCGGACGGCCACACUGGGACUGAGACACGGCCCAGACUCCUACGGGAGGCGGCAGUGGGGAAUUUUUCGCAAUGGGGGAAACCCUGACGAAGCAACGCCGCGUGGAGGAUGAAGGCC
This 395-nucleotide ribosomal RNA is filed under the name uncultured bacterium. RNAcentral's name for it is "bacterial SSU rRNA". It matches the Rfam family "Bacterial small subunit ribosomal RNA", at positions 29 to 416 of the family's 1533-position model. The record is from RNAcentral.